UCAAGAGGAUUCUUGGUAAUUCUCUAAUUGUUCUUCUAAUUGUUCUCUAAUUAUCUUUGUUCUUCAAUAUUAUGAAUAUGACUUUGUUCUACUUCAAUAUAUUGCUUAUGACUUUGCUCUACUUGCUCAAGAUUAUAUUGUUCUUAGUUUAUCAUAGUUAUGUACUUGGCUUAGUUAGAUUGGAUCUAUAUACAUGCUUAGGAUCGUAUAGCGUUUAUCCAUUGGAUCCAUGGGUAAAUGAUAGAUAUUGUGUAGGAGUGGUGCUUAUACCGUAUUUAUCUGCGAUUGUACCCAAUAUGCC
This 301-nucleotide long non-coding RNA is filed under the name Sorghum bicolor (sorghum). RNAcentral describes it as "long non-coding RNA (SBIC_LNC003180)". The record is from RNAcentral. Lineage: Eukaryota; Viridiplantae; Streptophyta; Magnoliopsida; Poales; Poaceae.